UACGUAGGGGGCAAGCGUUGUCCGGAUUUAUUGGGCGUAAAGAGCGUGUAGGCGGCCAUACAGGUCCGUUGUGAAAACUGGAGGCUUAACCUCCAGACGUCGAUGGAAACCGUAUGGCUAGAGUCCGGAAGAGGAGAGUGGAAUUCCUGGUGUAGCGGUGAAAUGCGCAGAUAUCAGGAAGAACACCCGUGGCGAAGGCGGCUCUCUGGGACGGUACUUACGCUGAGACGCGAAAGCGUGGGGAGCGAACAGG
This 253-nucleotide ribosomal RNA is filed under the name uncultured bacterium. RNAcentral describes it as "partial 16S ribosomal RNA". It matches the Rfam family "Bacterial small subunit ribosomal RNA", at positions 524 to 776 of the family's 1533-position model. The record is from RNAcentral.